CCUACGGGAGGCAGCAGUGAGGAAUAUUGGUCAAUGGACGAGAGUCUGACCCAGCAAAGUAGCGUGAAGGAUGACUGCCCUAUGGGUUGUAAACUUCUUUUAUAUGGGAAUAAAGUGUGGGACGUGUCCUAUUUUGUAUGUACCUUAUGAAUAAGGAUCGGCUAACUGCGUGCCAGCAGCCGCGGUAAUACGGAGGAUCCGAGCGUUAUCCGGAUUUAUUGGGUUUAAAGGGUGCGUAGGCGGCCUUUUAAGUCAGUGGUGAAAGUCGGUGGCUCAACCAUAGAUUUGCCGUUGAAACUGGUGUGCUUGAGUAUUUUUGAGGCAGGCGGAAUUCGGGGUGUAGCGGUGAAAUGCUUAGAUAUCACGCAGAACCCCAAUUGCGAAGGCAGCCUGCCAAGCCAUGACUGACGCUGAUGCACGAAAGCGUGGGGAGCAAACAGGAUUAGAUACCCGGGUAGUC
RNAcentral lists this ribosomal RNA (460 nucleotides) under uncultured bacterium. RNAcentral describes it as "partial 16S ribosomal RNA". It matches the Rfam family "Bacterial small subunit ribosomal RNA", at positions 338 to 795 of the family's 1533-position model. The record is from RNAcentral.